This 629-nucleotide long non-coding RNA is filed under the name Musa acuminata (dwarf banana). RNAcentral describes it as "long non-coding RNA (MACU_LNC001666)". The record is from RNAcentral. Lineage: Eukaryota; Viridiplantae; Streptophyta; Magnoliopsida; Zingiberales; Musaceae.
GCGAACUGCGGCUUCGUUCAUGUUAAUCGACACUCACGUGCAAGUAGUCCGGAUCGAGCUCGGAAAGGAAUUGGUAAUCGUUCCCGGAGACAGCAAUCAGCGCAGCGGAAGACUUGAGGUCGUGUCUUGAGAAGACGCCAUCGUCGAUCUGAGCCUGGAACUUGUCUAUCUGAGCUGUUAGGUUGCUCUGGAAGUUGCCGGUGUCGAAGAUCCCGGAACCGGCGACGGCGAAGUUCAUGCCGUAUGGCAGCAGCUUCUGGCCGAACUUUCUGAUCCUGUAAGGAAUGGGAGAUCUGAUCCGCAAAAACGAGGCUGCCACACCAUGUAGACACAGCUUUUACUGCAGUUCUUAGAUAUGCUUGCGGUCUAACCGAGUCAAGGAAUCAUGUCAUAAAGCGAGAGAGAGACAGACCAACGUAGUCGGUGAGGACUCUGCCAUCGGAGAAGCGGCCAGUGGGCUUCCUAGGGAAGGUCAUGCCGUAAGGAUCGAACCAUGAACGCGCGAGCCUCCCCAGCAACCUCCCCAGGUUGCCGGUGUCGACGUAGGAGUCGCCGAAGACGAACAGCUUAUUGACAUAGUGAUGCUCUGGUCUCUGCUUGCCGUGAGCAGAACCAGCAAUCCGAGUCCC